RNAcentral lists this unclassified non-coding RNA (21 nucleotides) under Chlamydomonas reinhardtii. RNAcentral's name for it is "small RNA Cre_3359". The record is from RNAcentral. Lineage: Eukaryota; Viridiplantae; Chlorophyta; Chlorophyceae; Chlamydomonadales; Chlamydomonadaceae.
UGGGAGGCAGAUGCGCGGGGG